Molecule: RNA transcript, 1397 nt
Organism: Quercus lobata
Lineage: Eukaryota; Viridiplantae; Streptophyta; Magnoliopsida; Fagales; Fagaceae
Gene name: UDP-glycosyltransferase 13-like
Exons: 1
Source: RefSeq, a predicted model, not a curated record
AUGUCAACUUGUAAUGAGCUUUCACAGCCUCAUCAACCUCAUGUAGCUCUUCUCCCAAGUGCUGGUAUAGGCCAUCUCACACCCUUUCUUAGACUCGCUACAAAGCUUAUCCACCAUCAUUGCCAUGUCACUCUCAUCACCACUCACCCCACUGUGUCACUCACUGAGUCUCAAUUCAUUAGCCGCUUCCUCUCAGCUUUCCCUCAAGUCACACAAUUGCAAUUCCAUCUUCUCACUUUAGACCCUUCCACAGCCAAUUCCAAUGACCCUUUUUGGCUUCGUUUUGAAGCUAUUCGUCGCUCAGCCCACCUCCUCUCUCCUCUCCUCACUUCACUUUCUCCACCUCUUGAUGCUCUCAUCUAUGAUGUAAGUUUGAUUUCCUCUGUGAUUCCAGUCAUUGAAAGCUUACAUAUUUCCAACUAUAUUCUCUUUCCUUCAUCAGCAAGAAUGUUCUCUCUGUUUUCACACUUCCCAAAUUUUGCAUCCAAAGCUAUAUUUGGUGAUGUUCUUGAAGUUAUUCCAGGGCUUAAGCCAAUACCCAGAUCGUCAAUCCCUCCUUUGCUUCUUAUCCCAGAUAGUCUUUUUGCUAAUAUAGUCAAGGAAGACAGUCCUAAACUCCCAAAAUCAAAUGGGGUUUUGAUCAAUACUUUUGAAGGACUAGAAUCAGAAGCACUAGAAACAUUUAGUAAUAGAAAAUUAGUGAUUGAGGGGUUGCCACCUGUGUUUGCUGUUGGACCUUUGGUGCCAUGUGAGUUUGAGAAGGUAGAGUGGGAUGAGCCAUUGAAGUGGCUCAAUGAACAAGAAGAUGGUUCAGUGGUGUAUGUUAGCUUUGGUAGUAAGACAGCUAUGUCUAGGGACCAAUUAAGAGAAGUAGGACAUGGGUUACUUAAAAGUGAGUGUAGAUUUUUGUGGGUGGUGAAGGAUAAGCAAGUUGACAAAGAGGAUAAAGAGGGUUUGGAUGAAGUGGUAGGGCAUGAGCUUAUAGAGAAGAUGAAGGAGAAAGGGUUGGUGGUGAAGAAAUGGGUGGACCAAGGAGAGUUACUUGGUCACAGGGCUGUGGGAGGGUUUGUGAGCCAUUGUGGUUGGAAUUCAGUGAUUGAGGCUGCAUGGCAUGGUGUGCCAAUUUUAGCUUGGCCACAAGGUGGGGAUCAGAAGAUUAAUGCAGAGGUGGUGGAGAUGAGUGGGGUUGGGAUUUGGGAGAAGAGUUGGGGAUGGGGUGGAAAAGAUGAUCAAAUGGUGGUUAAGGGGGAAGAAUUGGGAAGAGAAUUAGAGAGAUGAUGGAGAAGGAAUUUUUUAGAGUGCAAGCAGCUCACAUAAGAGAAGAGGCAAGGAAAGCAUUUGGUGUUGGAGGGAAUUGUGAGAGAAUGUUCAAGCAAUUGGUUGAAGAGUGGAAGUGA